Molecule: non-coding RNA, 20 nt
Filed under: Arabidopsis thaliana (thale cress)
Lineage: Eukaryota; Viridiplantae; Streptophyta; Magnoliopsida; Brassicales; Brassicaceae
Source: RNAcentral
UCAGAGUGGUUUGUGAUUUA